AUCCUUUUGUAGUUCAUAACCAUGAUGAUUGGGUUUUCACAAGCACGGGUGAGAUGUGCCUCCCUCAAACCUUGUUACGACAUAAGAACACUACCUGUCUGACA
This 104-nucleotide small nucleolar RNA is filed under the name Microcebus murinus (gray mouse lemur). RNAcentral describes it as "Small nucleolar RNA U13 (ENSMICG00000046230.1)". It matches the Rfam family "Small nucleolar RNA U13". The record is from Rfam by way of RNAcentral. Lineage: Eukaryota; Metazoa; Chordata; Mammalia; Primates; Cheirogaleidae.